UGGGGAAUAUUGCACAAUGGGCGCAAGCCUGAUGCAGCCAUGCCGCGUGUAUGAAGAAGGCCUUCGGGUUGUAAAGUACUUUCAGUCGGGAGGAAGGUGGUAAGGUUAAUAACCUUAUCAAUUGACGUUACCGACAGAAGAAGCACCGGCUAACUCCGUGCCAGCAGCCGCGGUAAUACGGAGGGUGCAAGCGUUAAUCGGAAUUACUGGGCGUAAAGCGCACGCAGGCGGUUGAGUGAGUCAGAUGUGAAAUCCCCGGGCUUAACCCGGGAAUUGCAUCUGAUACUGGUCGGCUAGAGUCUUGUAGAGGGGGGUAGAAUUCCAUGUGUAGCGAUGAAAUGCGUAGAGAUGUGGAGGAAUACCGGUGGCGAAGGCGGCCCCCUGGACAAAGACUGACGCUCAGGUGCGAAAGCGUGGGGAGCAAACAGG
RNAcentral lists this ribosomal RNA (429 nucleotides) under Chloroflexota bacterium. RNAcentral's name for it is "Chloroflexi bacterium partial 16S ribosomal RNA". It matches the Rfam family "Bacterial small subunit ribosomal RNA", at positions 355 to 776 of the family's 1533-position model. The record is from RNAcentral. Lineage: Bacteria; Bacillati; Chloroflexota.